RNAcentral lists this ribosomal RNA (462 nucleotides) under Triticum aestivum (bread wheat). RNAcentral's name for it is "partial small subunit ribosomal RNA". The record is from RNAcentral. Lineage: Eukaryota; Viridiplantae; Streptophyta; Magnoliopsida; Poales; Poaceae.
AUGCAUCGACCAGAUGCAGAGGCCAGGGGUCAUCCUCCUUUUCUAAAAAAAAACUUGGCGCUCUUGGCACACUAAGCAUGGCGCUUCCUUCAGGAUCCCAACUCUCUAAGUGCUCGUAUUCUCAAAGAUGUGUAUUAUCAUUCGAGCUCGAUCCUAGAAGCGGAAUUAGGGAAAUCUCCAUCGCAAGUAUGGCGAUCUAUUUUGGAGGGGAGAGAUACCCUCAAGCUUGGUCUCAUCAAGAGGAUUGGCAAUGGUGACGACACACAUAUCUGGCAUGAUAAUUGGAUUCCUUGUGAUUUUAUGCUUCGCCCGGUAUGUCCUAAAUUCCCUACUACUCCUCAAAUGGUGUCGGAGUUAAUUGGUCAUACAUUGGCUACAUGGGAUCUUGGUGCCCUGAACGAGCACUUCUAUGAUAUGUACAAGAUGGCGAAUCUUACUAUUCCCCUUAGCUCAACGGUGUAA